GAUGUUGGGUUAAGUCCCGCAACGAGCGCAACCCUUGUCUUUAGUUGCCAUCAUUAAGUUGGGCACUCUAGAGAGACUGCCAGGGAUAACCUGGCGGAAGGUGGGGAUGACGUCAAAUCAUCAUGCCCCUUAUGCUUAGGGCUACACACGUGCUACAAUGGGUAGUACAGAGGGUUGCCAAGCCGUAAGGUGGAGCUAAUCCCUUAAAGCUACUCUCAGUUCGGAUUGUAGGCUGAAACUCGCCUACAUGAAGCUGGAGUUACUAGUAAUCGCAGAUCAGAAUGCUGCGGUGAAUGCGUUCCCGGGUCUUGUACACACCGCCCGUCACACCACGGGAGUUGGAGACGCCCGAAGCCGAUUAUCUAACCUUUUGGAAGAAGUCGUCGAAGGUGGAAUCAAUAACUGGGGUGAAGUCGUAACAAGGUAGCCGUAUCGGAAGGUGCGGCUGGAUCACCUCCUUUCUAAGGAGA
Molecule: ribosomal RNA, 470 nt
Filed under: Clostridioides difficile
Lineage: Bacteria; Bacillati; Bacillota; Clostridia; Peptostreptococcales; Peptostreptococcaceae
Description: bacterial SSU rRNA
Rfam family: Bacterial small subunit ribosomal RNA
Source: RNAcentral